This 337-nucleotide unclassified non-coding RNA is filed under the name soil metagenome. Its description in RNAcentral is "partial contains 5.8S ribosomal RNA, internal transcribed spacer 2, and large subunit ribosomal RNA". The stretch from base 1 to 120 matches the Rfam family "5.8S ribosomal RNA", at positions 35 to 154 of the family's 154-position model. The record is from RNAcentral.
GAUGAAGAACGUAGCGAAAUGCGAUAAGUAGUGUGAAUUGCAGAAUUCAGUGAAUCAUCGAAUCUUUGAACGCACAUUGCGCCCCAUGGUAUUCCGUGGAGCAUGCCUGUUCGAGCGUCAUUUACCCCCUCAAGCUCCGCUUGGUGUUGGGCGUCUGUCCCGCUUCGCGCGCGGACUCGCCCCAAAGGUAUUGGCAGCGGUCGUGCCAGCUUCUCGCGCAGCACAUUGCGCUUCUCGAGGCACCGGUGGGCCCGCGUCCAUCAAGCUCACCCCCCCAGUUUGACCUCGGAUCAGGUAGGGAUACCCGCUGAACUUAAGCAUAUCAAUAAGCGGAGGA